GAUGAACGCUGGCGGCGUGCCUAAUACAUGCAAGUCGAGCGAACGGACGAGAAGCUUGCUUCUCUGAUGUUAGCGGCGGACGGGUGAGUAACACGUGGAUAACCUACCUAUAAGACUGGGAUAACUUCGGGAAACCGGAGCUAAUACCGGAUAAUAUUUUGAACCGCAUGGUUCAAAAGUGAAAGACGGUCUUGCUGUCACUUAUAGAUGGAUCCGCGCUGCAUUAGCUAGUUGGUAAGGUAACGGCUUACCAAGGCAACGAUGCAUACCCGACCUGAGAGGGUGAUCGGCCACACUGGAACUGAGACACGGUCCAGACUCCUACGGGAGGCAGCAGUAGGGAAUCUUCCGCAAUGGGCGAAAGCCUGACGGAGCAACGCCGCGUGAGUGAUGAAGGUCUUCGGAUCGUAAAACUCUGUUAUUGGGGAAGAACAUAUGUGUAAGUAACUGUGCACAUCUUGACGGUACCUAAUCAGAAAGCCACGGCUAACUACGUG
This 497-nucleotide ribosomal RNA is filed under the name uncultured bacterium. Its description in RNAcentral is "partial 16S ribosomal RNA". It matches the Rfam family "Bacterial small subunit ribosomal RNA", at positions 28 to 507 of the family's 1533-position model. The record is from RNAcentral.